Molecule: unclassified non-coding RNA, 405 nt
Filed under: Hevea brasiliensis (rubber tree)
Lineage: Eukaryota; Viridiplantae; Streptophyta; Magnoliopsida; Malpighiales; Euphorbiaceae
Source: RNAcentral
CAGAUUUUAGUGUCUCUCUAAGUAAUUCGCCUAUGAUUGAGGAAUUCUUGCUCACCUUAGGCAGGGGGAAAUUUGUUAUUGACUUCAGACCAUCCCAUAAAUCUUCUUUCGCCUUCGUAAAUGCUAUAGAAGUCUUUCUUACCCCAGAAAGCUUCAUUCCUGAUGAUACAACUCAAAUCACUGCUGCAGGAAGGAAAGGCAAUUUCAGUGGGUUGUUGUGUCAUGGCUUGCAUACUACCUACAGGAUCAAUGUUGGAGGUUCCAACCUCACAGCAGAUAACGAUAAGCUGUGGAGAAAUUGGAUACCUGAUGAUGAUUUCUUGACUUACCCUGAAACUGCAAAGAACAGUUCAUUCUUUUCUGGGCAACUGCCUAAGGGUCCGCAGAAUACUGAGUAUGUUGCCC